Molecule: long non-coding RNA, 1173 nt
Filed under: Calidris pugnax (ruff)
Lineage: Eukaryota; Metazoa; Chordata; Aves; Charadriiformes; Scolopacidae
Description: lncRNA (ENSCPUG00000008945.1)
Source: RNAcentral
AUUAUUAUAGUCAAAAUAUGUUUCUUUUGUGCUCCUAAAAACCGAAUCGUGCUUUAAUCAUGGUGCCUAGAAUCUGUACUGCUUUACCAGUGAUCUUAUUUAUAUUUUAAUACAUUCCACAGUAAUGCAGCUCAAGAGCUUCAGAAGCGCAAUUGCAUUGUGUAGAAAUAACAGCAGCUUGGGUUUCUUUUGUGCUCCUAAAAACCGAAUCGUGCUUUAAUCAUGGUGCCUAGAAUCUGUACUGCUUUACCAGUGAUCUUAUUUAUAUUUUGAUACAUUCCACAGUAAUGCAGCUCAAGAGCUUCAGAAGCGCAAUUGCAUUGUGUAGAAAUAACAGCAGCUUAAUUAUUGGUCUUAUUAGGAGACCAAUAUUUGAACUAAAAUGUUACAAUGUGAAAGAAAUGCUGUGAAGGAAAUGAAAUAGAGAGUACAGAAAUAAUUUGUUGAUGAAACACACGCUUUAUCUGAGGAUACAAGUGGUGGAUGAACUGAUCCGAUUCCCAGCAUUUUUACUGAGACAAACUGUGUUAUAAAAAAUGUACAGACGGAAUCAAAUACUAACAUUUGUGACUCCGUUGGCUCAAGGCAUGAGAUUUCUUCUUAGGAUUAAGUUAUAACUUACAUUUCUGGUCCCAGAACAUUAAAAAUAUGUAUUCUUUUCUGACUACCAUUCCUCUCAAAAGAAGAUUAACCCAAAAAGACAAAUAUAAAUCAUCUUUUAUAUUGUCCUCUCAAUAUAAUUGUCCUCUCAAAAUUCAGAGAGGUGUGAAACGUGGAUUUAGUCUAAUAUUAAUCUGCAGCACGUGAUUUUUAAAAUGUUUUUUAAAAGAUCUUUGAGGAAGAAUAUUUUACUAAGACCUGUGUUAUCUCGAUUCCUUAAGAUCUGUUUUUUGAACCCUCCUGCAGCCAGAACUUCUGCUGGGAUUCAUCUCGCCCAAUUUCAGACUUUUAAACCAUGAGAUGCCUAAAGAAAUGCCAGGCCUGGGGUUAUUGGUCUCCAGCAUGAAUCAAGUGGAAUUUCCCAGAAAGCUGUCUACAGGAGGUUUUAGGGAGGAUGGGGUUAAUGCUGCCUGGGAGAGCAGGUUCGGGUCCUGCCAUACCCUGGAGCAGUGGCUCAACCUGCCCAACAGAAAACAGAGAUUUCCACUUGGGACGAUUAGAGGGAAUAAAUAA